This 107-nucleotide non-coding RNA is filed under the name Ailuropoda melanoleuca (giant panda). RNAcentral's name for it is "Eukaryotic large subunit ribosomal RNA". It matches the Rfam family "Eukaryotic large subunit ribosomal RNA", at positions 1231 to 1325 of the family's 3401-position model. Lineage: Eukaryota; Metazoa; Chordata; Mammalia; Carnivora; Ursidae. The record is from Rfam by way of RNAcentral.
AUAAGAGAAUCCAAGCAGGACAGUGGCCGUGGAGGUCAGGAUCUGCUAAGAGGUGUGUAACAACUUACCUGCUGAGUCAACUGGCCCUGAAAAUGGAGGGGGAAAAA